Molecule: ribosomal RNA, 813 nt
Filed under: Triticum aestivum (bread wheat)
Lineage: Eukaryota; Viridiplantae; Streptophyta; Magnoliopsida; Poales; Poaceae
Description: partial small subunit ribosomal RNA
Source: RNAcentral
AUGGAUGAACUUAUGAAGAUGUUUGCUACUAAAAAUACUCCUCUUGAUCCCAAUGAUAUGCCCUUGUCUACUUUGAUUGAGAAUAAUAAUGAAUCUAUGGAUGUGAAUUUUGUUGGUAGGAAUAGUUUUGGAAACAACGCGUAUAGAGGGAAUUUUAAUCCUAGGCCUUAUCCUAGUAAUCCUUCUAAUAAUUAUGGAAAUUCCUACAACAACUCUUAUGGAAAUUUUAAUAAGAUGCCCUCUGAAUUUAAGAGUAGUGUUAAAGAGUUUAUGAAUUCACAAAAGAAUUUUAAUGCUUUGCUUGAAGAGAAAUUGCUUAAAGUUGAUGAUUUGGCUAGGAACGUUGAUAGAAUUUCUCUUGAAAUUGAUUCUUUAAAGCUUAGAUUUAUUCCUCCUAAGUAUGAUAUCAAUGAUUCUCUCAAAGCCAUGAGAAUUUCCAUUGAUGAGUGCAAAGAAAGAACUGCUAGGAUGCGUGCUUCCAAAGAUGCCUUUAUUAAAGCGUGUUCUUCCAAUUCCUAUGAAAAUCAAGAUGAAGAUCUAAAAGUUAUUGAUGUGUCCCCCAUUAAAUCUUUGUUUUGCAAUAUGAAUCUUGAUGAAACUGAAUAUGAUCUUCCUUUACCUAGAAGGCGUUCUAAGAAUUCGGAGUUUCUAGAUCUUGAUGAUGAAAUUGAUAAAUAUGGGAUUGAAAGAAAUAAAAACCUAGAUGUUGCUAAACCCACUAUUUUGGAUCUCAAGGAAUUUAAUUAUGAAAAUUGCUCUUUAAUUGAUUGUAUUUCUUUGUUGCAAUCCGUGCUAGAUUCUCUUCAUGCUUAU